Molecule: small nuclear RNA, 132 nt
Filed under: Piliocolobus tephrosceles (Ugandan red Colobus)
Lineage: Eukaryota; Metazoa; Chordata; Mammalia; Primates; Cercopithecidae
Description: U1 spliceosomal RNA (ENSPTEG00000027932.1)
Source: RNAcentral
AUACUUACCCAGGGGAGAUACCACGAUCACACAAGAUUCAUCCAUUGCACUCCAGAUGUGACCCCUAUGAUUUCCCCCAAUGUGAGAAACUUGACUGCUCAAUUUGUGGUUGUAAUUUUUUAAUUAAAAAAU